This is a long non-coding RNA of Hippocampus zosterae (dwarf seahorse), 5115 nucleotides long. RefSeq lists it as uncharacterized. NCBI's taxonomy places the organism in Eukaryota, Metazoa, Chordata, Actinopteri, Syngnathiformes, Syngnathidae. The record is from RefSeq and is a predicted model, not a curated record. The transcript is spliced from 2 exons.
CACAAUGGUCGACUGGUUAGCACGGCCUUCUGUGAGAAGUUUGCAUGGUCUUUCCGUUCCUGCAUUGGUUUUGUCCAGAUACUCCGUUUUCAUCCCACCUUCCAAAAACAUGCAUGGCAGGUGAAUGGAACAAUCCAAAUUUUCCCUCUGUGUGAGUGUGAGCGCGGAUUGUCUGUCGUCUCUGUGUGCCUUGCGAUUGGCUGCAAACCAGUUCAGUGCGUCCCCUGCCUACUGCCCGAAGAUGGCUGGGAUAGGCUCCAGCAUCCCCCGCGACCCUUGUGAGGAUAAAGCGGAUUAGGAAAUGGAUGUAUGAACAUACAUACAUAUUGUACAUACAUACAUACACACACACACACCGGAUCAGCUUUUCGAGUAAGCACUUGUCAUUACUUACAUGUUAACAUUCAACCCUGUGUUUUCCUAACAGUCUUGCCACACAGUAAUGACAGUCAUGGUGGCCUGAAAACAAGCUUAUGUUUCACGUUGUUGUACUUGCUUGCCUGAAAUUAUCAGUGUCCUAGGAUCUGAGCUUUUCUUUCUGAGUAUCGCUGCUAAAACAAUUCACUAUUGUAAAGAGCCCCAAAACAUUAAAUCCGUGAUGUUGGGCAAGCGUGAUGAAUUUGUGGUUAGCACAUUUGCCUCAUGGUCGGGGGGUUCUGGGUAAGAAUCUGGCUUCUUCCCAUGCACACGUGUACAUGUUCCUCCCUCCAAAUACACUGAAGAAUCUCAGAUGUCCUUAUUAAUGUGAGUGUGAACUCUUACGUGUUCUGUGGUUGGCUGGCAACCAAUGCAGAGUGUAUCCCGUUACUUGGCUAAAGUCAAUAAGGAUAGGCUACAGCCCACCCGUGACCCUGUAAAGCAGCGCUGUUGACAAUGGAUGCCAAACAUGCUCAUUCAUUCCACUCCUGCGCCUUUUCCCGCUAAACUGCAGGGUUGGCUUCCUUCGUCUAUAUUCGACUGGGACGUCAUAAUAUAUAAUUGCGGUCAAGGUUUUCUGGCCGAAUGCUCAGCCAACCAAAGGUUCAGUGGUGGGGUUCCCUCUGCUCAUCCAAGACCUACGCACAGGGCAAGAUAUUUGUUUUUGAAGCCUCUAUAGCCCAGGGACCCACCCGCUCUGUUGUUGGCGCUAACCACCUCAUCGGUCUUUUUUUAUGGUGUUUUUUUGCAUUUUAUAAGACAUAAGGGGGCACCUAUACAACUAUGCCUUGAUGCAGUUUCAUGUCAAACUCAAGACAUCAUAUAGAUGUAGGCCAAUAAUACAUAAUAAUCAAAGUUGGCUUGAAUGUUUCAUCGUGUUUUUUUGUCAUGAAUGCACAUAUUCUGCAGGGGACUCUUUGCACAAUGAAAUCGGAAAAAGAAACACGUAAAACCUGUCACGUCUUAUGCCUUGCUUUGUUUUCACUGAUUACAUUUGUUGCAACGGUUCGUGUUCAAUUUCGACUUUAUAGUUGCCGUCGGUGACUUGAAAAGCGAGGCUUUGCCAAGGCGCUGUGUUUCUGACGGCGUUUCAUCAUAAAAGAAAAAUCAAAUCACAUCGCAUCACCUCAGACGGCAAGUCGCUUGUUGUUGUUGUUGUACUGUAGAGUUAAGGGGUUUUAGAUUUCAGAAUCCUCACGCUUCUUUGCUUUUGCUUCUUACUCAAAAACAUCUCGGCCAGAAACGUACGGCGAUGAAAAGUGAACGUUGCAAUCUAAAACUCUUGUAACGCUGUCCCUAAUAAAGUGGCCAGUGGCCAGCUUGCUCUCGGCUGCGCCUUCUUUGAUUUCAGGCCCUAAUUGUCAUUCAGACUGCGUGGGCCGUAGCUAUCACAUGCACUCAAAGAUGUUCACUUUUUAAAUGUCUUUUUUCGCUAAGCCCCUGACAACCAUCUGCCCUUAUUGUCAUUCAUGCAAUCUUGAUCAGUCCGUCUGAAUGGAGAAGAGCUGCUCUCUACACACACACACACACACACACACACACGCAUGCACACAAAGGAGGCUUCAGUGACCACAGAGAAAGCGUGACGGACGUCUGCUGUCCUGCAGCUGUCACUGUAGUGUCACUGACCAGCCUGGACAUCUCUCACACACACGCGCACACACACAGAGCCUAAAUCAGCACUCACUUUGCAGUUUUACCUUUUGAGUCCUGAAACACUUCCCCUGCCUUAGCAGUGGGCAAAGAAGCACAUUCUCAUUGUGGUUGUGUCGGGUCUAAAUUGGCAGCGUGCCGGACUAUGGCACAGCUACAAAUAGCCCGUGACACUACAGCAGCCGAGUAGCUUGCAGCCACGUGAGUGCAAACCACAGUGGAAGGUCCAAAGGCGCACGCAAUCCAUGGCACCGAGAUCUGCUUUCAAGAGAAUCUACAGUAAUUAAAAGUGAGGUCCAGGUGCAUUGGUAUAAUUUUAAACAUUAACGGUGUGUUACGAUUCAUGUCAAGUGAAAGUCGUGUUUAAAACCAAACAUAAUGGAGAGCAGUACCAUGGCCAAAUGCAGAAUGCAGGUUGGUUUUGCAGCUGUUGCGGCCGCAAAUCCUUAUCGGCUGAGAGUAGCUGCAUCCCCUCUAAGCCAGGGAUCUCCAACUGCCGGUCCGUGGACCGGUGCCGGUCCGCAGGGCAUUUGGUACCGGGCCGCACAGAAAGAACUUGCCUUAAUUCCGUUUUAUUUAUUUCGGAAUACGAAAGAUGUUUUAUUUUGAAAAAUUACCGGAUUCUCCGUUACAUCCGUCUCUGUCACGCUUGACACUUAUCAAACCACGCUUCUGCGUCACGUGACCGAUUACGCUAAAAAACAAAACAAAAUAAAAUAAAAAAGACAUUAAAAAAUUAGUUAAAAAACUGCUGGAGAUCGCAAAUGACGGCGGCCUUAAAAGGACGUUCGAGACAACUGGAUUAAAAUUAUGGCUGAAUAUUCUGAGAUCACCACAGUAGCACUGUUGCUAUUUCCGACAUGCUACCUGUGUGAGGCGGGGGUUUUCUGCAGCAACGGCGACUUAAACAAAAAUACGAAGUAGCCUGGACAUAAAACACACACUUGAGGUGUCAUUGUCUCCUAUCACCUCGAGAUGGGACGGUCUGGUUGCAGAAAAUCAAGCUCGGGGCUGUGAUGAGUUUUCAUUUUCAUGCACUUUAAAUUUGCAUUGUAUCGUAUUUUGAAUGCAUUAAACAUUACCAUCGCGAUCAGAGUGUUGCAGCCAGAUUAGACGCUCCUUGUGUUUAUUGUUAUUAUUUUUCGAAAACGCCAGUUUUCAUGCAGCUCAUAGCAUAUUAUUUUGUUGUAUUAUUUUCACCACACCUGAAAUGCCGUUCCCUGAAAAUAUUGUCUGACAAAAAAAAGGUUGGGGACCCCUGCUCUAAGCUAGCUAACGGCUGGUCCUCGUCAUUAAUAUUUUUUCCUAUUUUGUGAGUUAAUGUUCAGCCUGAAAUGUACAUCUCAAAUCAUGUUUCUACCCAUAGUUUUGUGGCGUGAGGGGUCCUAUAAAAGAGAAAGGACUCAAAUCCCUUCCAUAAAACAUCAACAGGAAUAGAAACUUAAGGUUCAGUUCCAAGUAAGCCAAAGGGUGAAAUGUUGCCCCAUCCCUUGAAUUGGUAGAAAGACACCACCCUCUAGUGGCCGAAUAUAAAAGUAAAACUUGAAAGCCUGUGGUCCGAAUUGAAAACAUGACAUGAUCAAAUAGAAUAAUUUUAAGAUCCAAAAUUGCAUUUUCAAUGCUUUUCAAUUGAACAUAUUUCGUGUAUGGAGAUGACAAUAUAUUUAAAAUGAAUAUGUACGAGGUAUUUCACCUAUGUCCAUUUCAACACAGACCAAAUGGCUUGAAAAAAAAACUAACUGAAGUUUAAUUAUGUCUUCCCGUUUUAUUACAAGAUUUUUUGUGGCAUCAUUUUGUAUUUUGAUCACGAGUGACAAACUCGCGACCCGGGGGGCCAGAUCCAACUGGCAACAUAAUGCGGCCGACGUAAGCAAAUCAUGUACGUUCAACUUAAUGAUUGUUGCUAAAAAUACCAACAUUGAAAAUUGCCUUCAACAUUUUGCAUUAAUUUGUUGUUUAUGUGUAAAAAUAUGAAGGGAACAUAGUCAUGAUGGCACUCUGAGGGAUACCAUUAUGACAAUCUGCUCCCUGAGCUGAAGUCCAUGUGCAGCAGUCAUGCAAGAUAGAUGACGUUUCAACCUCCACUUAUGUGACUUUGAGACAUAUUUUUCUCCAAAAUGGCAGUUGAAGUCUAAUUCUAUCCCUGGAGAUGUCUUGGCAAAAAGCACCAACAUUUCCUCCAGAUCAGGCUGUAAGUCGUGUGGGGGUUUUCCCCUGGAUUCUAAUAGUCUCAUUCUUGUUCUUGUGUGUGUGUGUGUGUGUGUGUGUGUGUGUGUGUGUGUGUGUGUGUGUGUGCGCCCGCACAUAUGCGACCGCAGCUAUUUAUCAUGCAGGAUUACGUAACAGAGGCUCACAUAAUAGAAUCUUCCUCCAGCUAGAAGGUUGUGGGUGCAGAUGAGUGUGGCGCAUCAGAAAAGCUUCUGAACUGGCAUUUAUCUGUAAUGGUCUCGGUUUUUAAAGAGCAGUUCCCUUCCAUGGACGAAAAAUGAUGUCGUGGUCAACAAGAGCGAGAACUGGAGCGGAGGUUUGUCUAGGUCAGGAGUGCUCAAUUAAAAACCAAAGAGGGUCCACUGCAUGCAGAGAAACACCAAACAUCAUGUGUAAUUCAACCCUAAAUAUUGCGUGUUCAUUAAAAUACAAUUCUGUAGUAUUCCAAUAUUAUUUGAUCAUUCUGCCACUCAAUUAGAAAGAGUAAUUUAGAUUGAGUAAAAAAAAUUCAAGCAGUCCAUGAUAUUUUUUUCCAAAUUAAAAGACUACUGUAUCCCAAAGUAUGCCAGUAACUCUACUGUAAAUCCGCCCCAAAAAAGUAGGUUAAAAUGAAACUCUUGUAUGUGCACGUUAAAAAUCUCCCGCAAAUGGCACCGGUUAAAUAAAAUAAAAACUUCCACAUCCAUAUUUCCUCAAAAGAUUAAAAUACUUCAACACAAUCUCCACAAUUUGAAAUAAUUGUAGCAUAGAGCUCCAAAAAGUUGGACAGUUUAAGCCUGAAUUCAUUCAGAGGUUCUGCUCGUGAAAGAAUUUGUGAUCGUUAAAACAAUCUAAUAA